AAUCCACAUCAAUUGCCAUAGAAACCGCUGUGGAAUCCGCCCCCAUAAACUAAUAUGGGAUUGUAACAUUUUUUAACUCACGUAACCUUGUCUAAUUCAUAUUUUCUUUCAACAUUUUUGAGUUUCACUUAUUCCAAUUGUGUUGUGAGUUGUGACUUCCCAUUCUAACUAAUUGUAGGGAUGAUCAAUCAGAGUUAGUCAAGGAAGUUGUUCAAUGCACUUGGACCAGAUUGGAAAAAGUGAACUUGAUUGAUACUAAACAUCCUGUUGGACUAAGAUCCCACAUAGAAUCGGUAUUAUCUCUUCUGUCAGAUACAUCAAAUACCAGUUCUAAGGAUGUUCUGUUUCUAGGGAUAUGUGGUCCGGGUGGCAUUGGGAAGACAACCAUUGCGACGGCGGUAUACAACUGCAUCUCUAAAAAAUUUAGCAAGAGUUGUUUUCUUGAAGACGUUAGAGAGCAAGCGUCACAACCCAAUGGUACAGUUUGUUUGCAAGAGAAAAACUUCUUUACAAUAUCUCUCGGGUGGAAACAAAAAUAUGCAAUUCUAAAGAAGGAUCGAGAUUGAUAAAGGAUAGACUUCAAAACAUGAAAACUCUUCUCGUUCUUGAUGAUGUGGGUGAUUGUACCCAAUUAAAUGCAUUGGCUCGUGAUGUUGAUUGGUUUGGUCUUGGAAGUAGAAUAAUCAUAAUGACUAGAGAUCGGGGUGUUCUAAACGAGGUGACGCGGAACCGAAUUCCAAUGAUCGAAAUCGGAUCACUUAGGGCCCUCAAGAAUGACUAAGAAGCUCAAUGUAAUGGUUGAGGGGUAUUCUUGUAAUUUCAGAAACAAUUUUAAGAACUUAAAAGAGAGGAAAAUAAAUAAUGGGACAAACUAGAAUGGGAAAAUAAAGAGGGGGCAUUCUGGAAUUACUAAAGUAAAGGGGAAGUAAUAGAAUAUAACUUUAUGAAAUAAGGGCUUACUUGUAAUAACAGCAAGGGGUUUGUUUGCAAAUAAGAAAAUAUUGCUUCUUCAACCAUAGGCCCCGGUAGAACACAAUAGCUAGCAGAGACCGAAACUGGUUUCGGUUGGAAGAAGUUCUUCAAUAGGUAUCGGAUGGACCUAAAACUUUUAAGUGUAUGAUCGCAACUCCAGGUUCUACUGAUUCCAGCCAAUAAGCAGUCGAUUGUGCAGUCCAGAAGUUGAGAAUAAAACCCUGAACCUAUUCUGGACGAUAUUGUUGCAACCAUGAUGAUUUGUAGAGUAGAAGCUCACUGCAGGGAAGGAGUUUGGAGGAGAAACUCGAGAGCUUGAGUCGCCUAUGGAAGGGCUUCCUUCGCUCAAAAGCUUAACCCAAACAGAUCAAAGGUGAGGGAGAUUGAUCCUCUUGUUUGGGACUGCAACUACCGCCAGAAACAGGGCAGCAGCUAGGUGUAACAAACAGAAAUAAAUACAAGAAGGAAGAAGAUGGAGUCGUAGAGGAAAGGGAAGGGAAUAGCAGAUAAGAGAAUUUCAGAGAGGGAGAACAAGGGAGUCGCAGCUCACCGCAGCCAUGGUUCACCCUAAAAACAUUCAUUCAAUUUCAUUCAAUUCUAAAACUGAGUUCUUCUCCAUUACAGGGCUAUUUAAAGAAAAAAAUAAUGACAUAAUUUUGGAAGCUAAUAAAAAAAUGGAAACUUAAUCUAGUUAGCAACUAAAAUAAAAAUCAAAUCUAAAUAAAAGGCUGUUAAUCUAAUCUCUAACCAAUAAAGGAAGUAAAUAAAAAUCAAGUCAAAAGAUAGCAACUAAUUCUAUCAUCGAGCUGCAUCACGGGGUCCCUGAAAAUAAUAGAAAAAUAUAUGAGCCUAGAGAAUUGAAUCAGGAAGAAAGUCUUCGACUCUUCAGUUUGUAUGCAUUUUCAACGGACCAACCUUCUAUUGAUUUUAUUCAGCUUUCAGUUGAUAUAGUAGGCACUACAGGAGGGUUGCCCUUAGCUUUGGAGGUUUUAGGUUCUGAUUUAUAUAUGGAAAAAGAUAAAGAAGUAUGGACAUCCAGGCAUUGGAUGUUAAAACAAAUUCCUGAUGAUACUGUCGACGAAAAGUUGAAGAUAAGCUUUGAUAAUCUCAGUGAUAUUGAGAAAACUUUGUUUCUUGAUGUUGCAUGUCUUUUCAUAGGAUAGGAGGAAAAAAUUGUAAUUUCCAUAUGGGAAGCUUGUGGCUUUGAGCCGUGGUACCGUAUGGAAGUUCUGAAGAGAAAAUCUCUCUUAAAGAUCCGUGAGUCAAGUCAUUGGAAAAAGACAAAGUACUUGGUGAUGCACAAUCAGAUUAGAGACAUGGGAAGGAGAAUUGCCUACAAUCAAAGGCCAGAGAAUCCUGAUAACCAUAGCCGGUUAUGGUCUCGUGACAAUAUCAUGAAGGUAUUAAACAGCUGUAAGGGGAAUGAAAUGGUUGAAGGUCUCCUCCUGGACUUCAAUACAAAUGACCAUACUUGUUUACAUGCUAAAGACUUUGAGAAGAUGCCCAAGCUAAGAUUACUAUAAGUUGAUGGAGCAACCUUGGAGGGGAGCUUUCAAUGUCUUCCUUCUGGGUUAAGAUGGCUCAAAUGGCACAAAUGUCCAUUGGAAACAGUACCUGCCGAUUUUUAUCAUGAAUACCUAGUUAUACUCGGCUUAAGUCAUGGCUUGUUUAGACAAACUUGGAAUAACUGGCAUGAAAAUAAGGUGAGUGGUAUUUGUCUUUCUUCUCGUUGAUUUUACAAACGAGAGUAUUAUUGGACAUUAAUAUUUUAUAUUCUUCUUUAUUUGACAGAAGUUUCAACAAUUGAAAGUUCUUAAUCUUAGUGAUUGUCAUAAUCUAUCUAAAUCUCCCAACUUCUCAGGAGUUCCUCGAUUAGAGAGGUUAUCUUGAUAAUUGCACAUCAUUGGUUAAUUUACAUAAAUCCAUUGGGGAGCUCCAACAGCUUGUUUACUUGAACUUGGGAAAUUGUGAGUCACUUGAGAAUCUCCCAAACAAUAUAUGUAGGUUGAGAUCACUUCGGAACCUUAUUCUCUCUCUCAUUGCUACUCACUCAAAGAGUUGCCUGGGUCAAUUGGUGAUCUAAAAGAAUCUUUAGUUGAGCUUUCCUUGCCCCAAACAGAUAUUGAAGUGCUGCCUGAUGGUGUUGGACUGUUAAAGAAAUUGGAGGCAUUGAAUCUUAAAGGCACCAUGGCACUAACAUAUUUGCCAAGGUCAAUGGAGAAUAUGACGUCUUUGCGUAACUUCUACCUUAGUGGACGUCACAAGCUUCUGUGCUUUCCCAAGCUGCCCUCUAGUUUAAUUGCAUUUCGUAUUUCGAACACACUAUUUGAAAGUUUACCUGACAUGCAAAACAUGAAAAACUUGGAAGAUUUGGGGUUUGAAUAUAUUUGUGUAAAGAUGGAGCAAUUUUGAGGCUUUGUGAAGACGAGGAAUGAUGAUGAAUUCAGUGAACUGACCAAUAAAGUGGGUAGACACUGCGUGGUAACAAAUCAUCGUUCGUGGCAGACGCAAGGCCAGCAGGGAACAUUUCUUGGGGGUGACAUUGAAAGUUGGAGACAGAUGAAAGAGGUUCUAGCCGCUACCUGAUUCCUGAUUAUGACAAUAUCUAUAGCCACAGGCUAAUCAUGCAUGUUUCUUUGCCUGUCUCCGAAUUUAUUAGCCUGAUAUUUCGAUGUUGUGUCCAUAGCAAAGAUAAAAAAAACCAAAUGUAACAUUGGGAUGGAAAUUGAGUGGCCCAAAAAAUUCACAUGUGGAGAUCAUAUAGAAUGCAUUCAUGAAUUCAAAGGGUUUGAUUUGUUCGGGGUUCAACCGGAUGGUGGGGAA
Long non-coding RNA from Macadamia integrifolia, 3795 nucleotides. RefSeq lists it as uncharacterized. The transcript has 3 exons. The record is from RefSeq and is a predicted model, not a curated record. NCBI's taxonomy places the organism in Eukaryota, Viridiplantae, Streptophyta, Magnoliopsida, Proteales, Proteaceae.